CGCGUGCUUCUCUCCAACGGCGUCCCCUCAUGAUGCUCUCAGAGUCCCAGCAGUCCAUGCUCCCCACCGCCAUCAACCACCUCAUCAGCGACGCGACCCUCCACUUUGGCUUUGUCGUCCACCUCUAGGACGUCACCUGCAAGAACAACAACAUCCAGCACCGCAGGUUCGUCAACCGACCAGGAUAUAUUAGCAGAUGUUGGUCCUGAUCUCCUUGGAUGCUUUGCUCCGCUUAGCAAGAAUUCGUUUGUGUGCCUUAGGAGCUAGCGAUUUCAGCAAAAAUUGUAUGCUGCGAUAGUUUUUAAGAUGCAGGCAGGUGCAGGUACUGGGGUGUUCACGCAACUUGGGGGUUUCAACUUGUGUUUAUUUGAAGUUAAUGAUAUCCUGCCGUAGAUUCAUUGUUGGUUUCCACAAAUAGGCCAAUUGACAGUGAAACUCGAAUUUUGUGUUGGAUUAGUGGGUAUUAACAAUCCUCAAAAAAAUUGUUGUUCAACUCAUAAGCAAUUAAGCAUUAAAAUUUUGUGAAUUAAUUGGUAAUUUAAUUUUCUAAGAUGUGCCUUUUCUCUAUAUGUCUGAUAGACUCGAAUUUAGGAUCACUGGAUGAGAUUUCAGUAUAGUUAAUGAACAAAUUUCAGUGGUGGAAUUUAGCACCAGUAGAUGAAGAAUUUCAGUUCACUUCAUGAAGAAAUUCCAGUGGCGUAAACAGCUAGGAAUUCAUUCGAGUGGUUUUUUUUUUUUUUACUUGUUGCACAAACUGUGCUCUUUUUCAACGAGCUAGCAUGGCAUCCCUUCACGCAUCUAUUCUCAUGAAACUAUUUGUCUAGCUCUGAAAUCCAUUAAUUCACUAAAAAAAUCUUUUGUGUAAAUGAAUUUUGUGUUUCUUAUUGUGAAAGUAAUAUCCAGGCAUGUCUGAACUUGGAGCAUAAGAGCUAACAUCACCCCUGUAGUCCUAGAGAAGUCCCGCUCUUCAGAAAUCAGUUUUAACUUGCUUUUCUAUUGGUGAUCUUUUUUUACUAUUGGACCUUCAGUGAAAUUGUGAUGUGAAAUUUCUCUAUGUUCUAAUCAUCCGAAAGUAACAUGGCAUGUGUCCACAUAGUUGUUCUCAUGACACUAUUUGUCUGGCUCUGACAUCCAUUAUAUUCACCUCUCGAUACCGAGAUGAUCAUGUAGAAGACGGACGAGCAGAUAAAGAAAGAGCCAGAGUUUAAGGCUAUAGCCAGGAAGGCAUACAUAAUCGCAGUGUCUUGCUUGGACAAGCAAAAUGUACCGCUGCCAGUUGUGAUGCAGCUCUUGGAUAUGGACGAAAUACUGGAAAUAAUACAUGUUGAUCCACUAUUUCUUUUACUUUUUUUCUUGUCCUCUAAGGACAUCUUUUCAUAAUUGCCUAGAUUGAUUUUUUAUGGGCUUAUCUAGAUUGUUAUUAUUCGCUCAGAUUAAUAUGGUUGAGGUGUUGGCUUUUCACCACCUUGGUUCUCAUGUGUAAGUUUGGUGGCACCAAUCAAUUCAUAGUUGUAGUACAAUUUCUCAUUCAUGGUCUUGUUUUUUAGCCUGAAUGAAAUGUUAGAGUAUAAAAUUAGUUCAGUAAUUGAAGUGGAUAUC
Lolium perenne is the source of this 1599-nucleotide long non-coding RNA. RefSeq lists it as uncharacterized. The record is from RefSeq and is a predicted model, not a curated record. NCBI's taxonomy places the organism in Eukaryota, Viridiplantae, Streptophyta, Magnoliopsida, Poales, Poaceae.